This is a long non-coding RNA of Beta vulgaris subsp. vulgaris (sugar beet), 588 nucleotides long. RefSeq lists it as uncharacterized. The record is from RefSeq and is a predicted model, not a curated record. NCBI's taxonomy places the organism in Eukaryota, Viridiplantae, Streptophyta, Magnoliopsida, Caryophyllales, Amaranthaceae. The transcript is spliced from 2 exons.
CUUAACGUAAUGCUGCAAUCUUUCUCAAUUUAUACACCUGGGUGUACAAUCUAAUUUGCGGCCAUCUGCCCAUCUCCUGUAAUUCUGAAAAAAUUAAACCCUUAGUAAUAUUCAACCUCAAAAACUGCGACGCUUUUCCACAACCUUCUUCGACACUUGCAUUCUCCAGUUUCCUCAAAUCAAGCAUCCGACAUUGAAAGUUAAAAGAGAAAACAUGGAGAAGAAGAAAGAUGAAGACAUGGAAGAAGAUCAUGGAGAUGCCAGAUCUGAGAAGAAAAAGAAGAAAGAGAAGCGCACGUUAAUGGCAAGAACAACUCCAAUUACCAAUAUCUCUUCACCGGAAAAGCUGUUGUUAUAAUGGUUUAUAGCAAAGAUCAGAUGUUAUAAUAGCAAAGGAACAGAACAUUAAGGCUGUGAUUGGAGAUCUGUAAUGUCAUUCGCGACUCUUCAUUAUUGUUACUGUAAGAGUGGGCUCUCUGAUUUCGCUUUGCUAGCAGGUAUUCAAGGAUAGAUGUGAUGUUUCAAGAAGAACUUGAAGUUGAUGUAAUUACCUAUUACUACAUCUUCUCAUGGAAUCUUUAAUGGUCA